Pelobates cultripes (western spadefoot toad) is the source of this 256-nucleotide non-coding RNA. The record is from the annotation of a GenBank genome assembly. NCBI's taxonomy places the organism in Eukaryota, Metazoa, Chordata, Amphibia, Anura, Pelobatidae.
CCCACGAACCCCUUGCCAUCCACAGUAAUCUUGGUGUUCGCCUGAAUCCCCAUAAAUGCUUAAACAAAACUACCCAACGGCCGGUCGUUCGGUAGUUCCAGCACAAACUUACGAGCUCCUGGAGGUCUCAGCGGUGUUCGCCUGUUUGCGUAUCCGUUUUUAGUUCCAUGCGUUCACAGGCAAACACCGCCGUUCGUGCGUAAGAUGGCCGCGAACACGUGUAAAGUCCCGAAAUGGCGGCCAUCUAACCUGAGCA